UACGGAGGAUGCGAGCGUUAUCCGGAUUUAUUGGGUUUAAAGGGUGCGCAGGCGGUCUGUUAAGUCAGCGGUCAAAGCCCGGGGCUCAACCCCGGCCCGCCGUUGAAACUGGCAGUCUCGAGUUGGAGAGAAGUAUGCGGAAUGCGCGGUGUAGCGGUGAAAUGCUUAGAUAUCACGAAGAACCCCGAUUGCGAAGGCAGCCUGCCGCAGCGUUACUGACGCUGAAGCUCGAAAGCGCGGGUAUCGAACAGG
This 252-nucleotide ribosomal RNA is filed under the name uncultured Bacteroidales bacterium. RNAcentral describes it as "partial 16S ribosomal RNA". It matches the Rfam family "Bacterial small subunit ribosomal RNA", at positions 524 to 776 of the family's 1533-position model. Lineage: Bacteria; Pseudomonadati; Bacteroidota; Bacteroidia; Bacteroidales. The record is from RNAcentral.